This 75-nucleotide transfer RNA is filed under the name Stegodyphus mimosarum. It matches the Rfam family "tRNA". Rfam says of the family: Transfer RNA (tRNA) molecules are approximately 80 nucleotides in length. Their secondary structure includes four short double-helical elements and three loops (D, anti-codon, and T loops). Further hydrogen bonds mediate the characteristic L-shaped molecular structure. tRNAs have two regions of fundamental functional importance: the anti-codon, which is responsible for specific mRNA codon recognition, and the 3' end, to which the tRNAs corresponding amino acid is attached (by aminoacyl-tRNA synthetases). tRNAs cope with the degeneracy of the genetic code in two manners: having more than one tRNA (with a specific anti-codon) for a particular amino acid; and 'wobble' base-pairing, i.e. permitting non-standard base-pairing at the 3rd anti-codon position. Lineage: Eukaryota; Metazoa; Arthropoda; Arachnida; Araneae; Eresidae. The record is from Rfam by way of RNAcentral.
GCCUUCGUGGUGUAGUGGUCAGUACGCUUGACGCGUAACCGAGAGGGGUCCGUGGUUCGAUUCCCGGCGAAAGCG